RNAcentral lists this small nucleolar RNA (135 nucleotides) under Chinchilla lanigera (long-tailed chinchilla). Its description in RNAcentral is "Small nucleolar RNA SNORA15 (ENSCLAG00000018723.1)". It matches the Rfam family "Small nucleolar RNA SNORA15". From Rfam's summary of the family: ACA15 is a member of the H/ACA class of snoRNA that guide the sites of modification of uridines to pseudouridines. Lineage: Eukaryota; Metazoa; Chordata; Mammalia; Rodentia; Chinchillidae. The record is from Rfam by way of RNAcentral.
GCAUGGCCGAAUACUGUGUUCCUUCAUCAGUAGCUUACACAGCCAGACACCAUGCAAAAGUAAAGCGUUCCUUUUAAAAUGACCGAUGAUAUGCUGUUUGUUCACAGUAUAUCAUUAUUAAAAGCGAUUACAAAU